UGGGGUAUGAAAAGAAAAGGAGAAGAAGAGUUAUAGGUCAAUGCCCGAACUUUGAUGAUAAAUCAACAGUGACACAAUGAAGUUUUCCAGCUGAAAUUGAAGGGAAACUCGUAAACAAAUCUUGAACUCGGCGGCGAUUAAUUGAAGUUUGUGAGCGAGAUGCAUAGAGGGAUAAGAGGAAAGCUUUUUAUAAAUGAAAUUCUAGGGUUUUCAU
Molecule: long non-coding RNA, 214 nt
Filed under: Phoenix dactylifera (date palm)
Lineage: Eukaryota; Viridiplantae; Streptophyta; Magnoliopsida; Arecales; Arecaceae
Description: long non-coding RNA (PDAC_LNC000005)
Source: RNAcentral